CUCUCCCCUGGACUUGUGAAUGUGUUUGUGAGUGUCUGGCACCUUGGCUGGGGUUCACUCACUUGGCUGUUUCGGGCUUGGGCCUCAGCACCCUGGUUGGCCCACAGGCUUCUCAGCCUCUGGCAGAUCAAAGAAAACCAUGCCGCCUGGCUCCCAAUUUGGAACUCUUAUUCAGUUCUCAAGCCCCUGCCAUCUUCUCACCCCUGCCAAGAACCCGAGUUCUGAUCUCAACAGAGCUACGCUCGCUGUGGAGAGAUGGCUGGUCGUGCACCGAAAUCCACCCUUGCGUGAGG
This is a long non-coding RNA of Talpa occidentalis (Iberian mole), 293 nucleotides long. RefSeq lists it as uncharacterized. NCBI's taxonomy places the organism in Eukaryota, Metazoa, Chordata, Mammalia, Eulipotyphla, Talpidae. The transcript is spliced from 3 exons. The record is from RefSeq and is a predicted model, not a curated record.